RNAcentral lists this ribosomal RNA (404 nucleotides) under uncultured Phaeospirillum sp. Its description in RNAcentral is "bacterial SSU rRNA". It matches the Rfam family "Bacterial small subunit ribosomal RNA", at positions 355 to 776 of the family's 1533-position model. The record is from RNAcentral. Lineage: Bacteria; Pseudomonadati; Pseudomonadota; Alphaproteobacteria; Rhodospirillales; Rhodospirillaceae.
UGGGGAAUAUUGGACAAUGGGCGAAAGCCUGAUCCAGCCAUGCCGCGUGAGUGAUGAAGGCCUUAGGGUUGUAAAGCUCUUUCGCCAGGGAAGAUAAUGACGGUACCUGGAAAAGAAGCCUCGGCUAACUCCGUGCCAGCAGCCGCGGUAAGACGGAGGAGGCUAGCGUUGUUCGGAAUUACUGGGCGUAAAGCGUGCGCAGGUUGUGAGAUCAGUUGGAUGUGAAAGCCCGGGGCUUAACCUCGGAUGUGCAUCCAAUACUGUCUCGCUGGAGGUUGGAAGAGGAGAGUGGAAUUCCCAGUGUAGAGGUGAAAUUCGUAGAUAUUGGGAAGAACACCAGUGGCGAAGGCGGCUCUCUGGUCCAUACCUGACACUCAUGCACGAAAGCGUGGGGAGCAAACAGG